GACUAACGCUGGCGGCGCGCCUAAUACAUGCAAGUCGAGCGAGAAGACGUAGCAAUACGUUUGUAAAGCGGCGAACGGGUGAGGAAUACAUGGGUAACCUACCCUAGAGUGGGGAAUAACUAGCCGAAAGGUUAGCUAAUACCGCGUACGCUCCUUGGACUUCGGUUCAGGGAGGAAAGCGAUGCCGAGGGUAUCGCGCUCUUGGAUGGGCUCAUGUCCUAUCAGCUUGUUGGNGAGGUAACGGCGUCACCAAGGCUUCGACGGGUAGCUGGUCUGAGAGGACGAUCAGCCACACUGGCACUGCGACACGGGCCAGACUCCUACGGGAGGCAGCAGUAAGGAAUAUUGCGCAAUGGGCGAAAGCCUGACGCAGCGACGCCGCGUGGGGGAUGAAGGUCCU
Molecule: ribosomal RNA, 400 nt
Filed under: uncultured bacterium
Lineage: Bacteria
Description: bacterial SSU rRNA
Rfam family: Bacterial small subunit ribosomal RNA
Source: RNAcentral